This 484-nucleotide ribosomal RNA is filed under the name uncultured bacterium. RNAcentral's name for it is "partial 16S ribosomal RNA". It matches the Rfam family "Bacterial small subunit ribosomal RNA", at positions 30 to 507 of the family's 1533-position model. The record is from RNAcentral.
AUUGAACGCUGGCGGCAGGCCUAACACAUGCAAGUCGAGCGGAUGAAGGGAGCUUGCUCCUGGAUUCAGCGGCGGACGGGUGAGUAAUGCCUAGGAAUCUGCCUGGUAGUGGGGGAUAACGUCCGGAAACGGGCGCUAAUACCGCAUACGUCCUGAGGGAGAAAGUGGGGGAUCUUCGGACCUCACGCUAUCAGAUGAGCCUAGGUCGGAUUAGCUAGUUGGUGGGGUAAAGGCCUACCAAGGCGACGAUCCGUAACUGGUCUGAGAGGAUGAUCAGUCACACUGGAGCUGAGACACGGUCCAGACUCCUACGGGAGGCAGCAGUGGGGAAUAUUGGACAAUGGGCGAAAGCCUGAUCCAGCCAUGCCGCGUGUGUGAAGAAGGUCUUCGGAUUGUAAAGCACUUUAAGUUGGGAGGAAGGGCAUUAAGUUAAUACCUUGCUGUUUUGACGUUACCAACAGAAUAAGCACCGGCUAACUUCGUG